CAGGGCGGAGCCGAAGACGUAUCGAUUCAAAAGUUCGGCGAUCUUGUUCGGGCCUCGAAGACCACUGCGUUCGGGACGCAGGAGUCGGAGGUUCGAAUCCUCUCGCCCCGACCA
This 114-nucleotide transfer RNA is filed under the name Achromobacter xylosoxidans. Its description in RNAcentral is "tRNA-Pro". Lineage: Bacteria; Pseudomonadati; Pseudomonadota; Betaproteobacteria; Burkholderiales; Alcaligenaceae. The record is from RNAcentral. RNAcentral also lists the same sequence under 4 other names.